Non-coding RNA from Cymbomonas tetramitiformis, 74 nucleotides. The record is from the annotation of a GenBank genome assembly. Lineage: Eukaryota; Viridiplantae; Chlorophyta; Pyramimonadophyceae; Pyramimonadales; Pyramimonadaceae.
GAACCAAUGGUGCAGUGAUAGCACAACAAUCCGGUAAUUUGUCGGGACGGCGGGUUUGAUUCCCCCUUGGUUCC